GGGGGGAACCAUCACCACGACCAGACCCAAAACCCACCAGUACAGCAAUUUAGACUAUCUGUGCUGUUCUCGUUGCGAGUAGAAGAAGGGAAAAGGAAUGAAUUUCUGCAUUUGAAGUGGAGGAAGAGUAUAAGAAACUAACCCCUUAAAUGAUUCAUCUUUGUAUUUUCCUAUCUGGCCAUAUAAAUCUAAAUGUAUAUACAUAUUUAAUUGUACACUAUUUAUAAAAAAGCUCUUAUGAAGCAGCCCUAUUUUAUCUGCUGAAAAUUAGCCACCCCCUGCUGCAAAAGCUGGAUUUUUUUUUUCCACUCAACAUGGAAAUACAUUCAUUCUUAUAAUUGUUCUUUUCUUUCAAAACACCUAAUAUAACAUAUGCUAGAAGACAUUAUAGUUCAUCUGCUAAGCAGUCUCUUUAUGAGUUGAGGCUUCAACGCUUUAAUGGGGAAAUUGCCAGAUUUAAGUAAAUCAUGUCACCUCCACCCAAGUAAUCAUAUUUGUUGCAGACUUCUGCUGACCUCAUCUCUACUGUAAAAACAAGAACACAUUUACAUUUUCAGCUUGAGAUAUUUGGUUCAAAUGAUUCACAAAUAGGUUGUAAUGAAAACUAAUUUUAGCCUACUCCAAAGAUACUAUUUAGGUUCUCUGUUGAUAGCAUUUACAGAUACACAAUUACUGGUUACUGUCAUUUGAACAGAUACAGCAUGUUUUCACAGAAAGCAAGCAAGCAAACUCUGAGAUCAUUUCUGUAUAAGAUACUACAUUUUGAAAUAUUACUUUCAGGGAAAAUAAAUGAAAAGCUAAACUAGAGCUAAAUGUAUGUAUUUUUUAUAAGAGGUUGCAAUUUUUUUUGUACAUAUUGUUUGCCCAGACCACUUCAUACAAGGAAUCCUUUUGGAAGUGACUUCUCACAGCAUUAUAUGCAUCACGACUUUUCCAUGUGAAAUGUUUCAAAAAAUGCUAGUUAAUAGUCUUGUGAAAUUUCAAGCAACUUUAAAAAAAAACCAAACAAAAUAAAAUCAACUUAGUUUUAUCCUAGUUAUUUCCCAAAUGCAUGAGCAAAAGCAAUACUUACACGACUUUUUGGGGGUUUUUUGGGGGGUGUUUGUUUUGUUUUUUUUACUUUUUCACAACUUUCACAUGUAGUUCUAACUCACUGUGGAAUACAAAUUCCAAACACAGGAGACCAUGGGAACUAUCCAACCAUCUAACCUAGUCUGAUGCAACAAAGAUCAGAAAACUUCAUUCAGCCACUUCCAUAACAAGAGCACACUCCCCAAUACAAAAA
Molecule: long non-coding RNA, 1285 nt
Filed under: Strigops habroptila (Kakapo)
Lineage: Eukaryota; Metazoa; Chordata; Aves; Psittaciformes; Psittacidae
Description: lncRNA (ENSSHBG00005014365.1)
Source: RNAcentral